Molecule: RNase P RNA, 407 nt
Filed under: Bacteroidota bacterium
Lineage: Bacteria; Pseudomonadati; Bacteroidota
Description: RNase P RNA component class A
Rfam family: Bacterial RNase P class A
About the family: Ribonuclease P (RNase P) is a ubiquitous endoribonuclease, found in archaea, bacteria and eukarya as well as chloroplasts and mitochondria. Its best characterised activity is the generation of mature 5'-ends of tRNAs by cleaving the 5'-leader elements of precursor-tRNAs. Cellular RNase Ps are ribonucleoproteins.
Source: RNAcentral
AUCUGUGGUUGAUCUAUCGCUCUCAUGAAGAUGAGGGAGGAAAGUCCGGACAACGUAGGGUACCGCACCAUCUAACUGAUGGGUCACGCCUCGGCGUGAACAGAAAGUGUCACAGAAAAAUACCGUCCCGCCUUUUUCGCGGGAUAAGGGUGAAAACGUGUGGUAAGAGCGCACGCAUCAGCCGGGUAACCGGCCGGUGGGAUAAACCUUGCGGGUUGAAAUGCCAUGUACACUUCAAUUUCAGAUCUCAAUCGUAUGAGAAAUGCUAUCCUGCGACUCGCGGGAAUGUGUAAACAGUUGAAGGGGGUAGGCAGAUAGAAUCUUUGUCGUAAGGCAAGAUCCAGAUAAAUGAUAGAUAUUCUUCCAAAAGAAGAAGACAGAAUCCGGCUUACAGAUCACAGAUGCAU